Molecule: ribosomal RNA, 429 nt
Filed under: Acidobacteriota bacterium
Lineage: Bacteria; Pseudomonadati; Acidobacteriota
Description: Acidobacteria bacterium partial 16S ribosomal RNA
Rfam family: Bacterial small subunit ribosomal RNA
Source: RNAcentral
UGGGGAAUUUUGGACAAUGGGGGAAACCCUGAUCCAGCCAUCCCGCGUGUGCGAUGAAGGCCUUCGGGUUGUAAAGCACUUUUGGCAGGAAAGAAACGUCAUGGGUUAAUACCCCGUGAAACUGACGGUACCUGCAGAAUAAGCACCGGCUAACUACGUGCCAGCAGCCGCGGUAAUACGUAGGGUGCAAGCGUUAAUCGGAAUUACUGGGCGUAAAGCGUGCGCAGGCGGUUCGGAAAGAAAGAUGUGAAAUCCCCGAGCUCAACUUGGGAACUGCAUUUUUAACUCCCGGGCUAGAGUGUGUCAGAGGGAGGUGGAAUUCCGCGUGUAGCAGUGAAAUGCGUAGAUAUGCGGAGGAACACCGAUGGCGAAGGCAGCCUCCUGGGAUAACACUGACGCUCAUGCACGAAAGCGUGGGGAGCAAACAGG